AGCUUUGUACAGUGGCAGUAUUUUAGCCAGUGAGGCUCAUCUGAGGUGUGAGUAUUGUUGAUUGAGACCUACUUACUAUCCUUAGUAUCAGAUUUCCUGUAUAUGCAAUAGUA
Molecule: small nuclear RNA, 113 nt
Filed under: Chinchilla lanigera (long-tailed chinchilla)
Lineage: Eukaryota; Metazoa; Chordata; Mammalia; Rodentia; Chinchillidae
Description: U4 spliceosomal RNA (ENSCLAG00000020774.1)
Source: RNAcentral